This 176-nucleotide unclassified non-coding RNA is filed under the name soil metagenome. RNAcentral's name for it is "partial internal transcribed spacer 1". The record is from RNAcentral.
UAAUCAAGUGUUUUUUAUGGCCACUUUCAAAAAUCCAUAUCCACCUUGUGUGCAAUGUCAUCUCUCUGGGGGCUGUCGGCUGUCAAAAGCCGUGUGUGGUCACCUUUGGGAUUUAUAUCUACUCAGAACUUUAGUGAUUUUGUCUGAAACAUAUUAUGAAUACUUAAUUCAAAAUA